GACGUAGGGCGCGAGCGUUGUCCGGAUUUAUUGGGCGUAAAGAGCUCGUAGGCGGCUUGUCGCGUCGAAUGUGAAAUCCUGCGGCUCAACUGCAGGCUUGCAUUCGAUACGGGCAGGCUCGAGUUCGGUAGGGGAGACUGGAAUUCCUGGUGUAGCGGUGAAAUGCGCAGAUAUCAGGAGGAACACCGGUGGCGAAGGCGGGUCUCUGGGCCGAUACUGACGCUGAGGAGCGAAAGCGUGGGGAGCGAACAGG
This 253-nucleotide ribosomal RNA is filed under the name uncultured bacterium. RNAcentral describes it as "partial 16S ribosomal RNA". It matches the Rfam family "Bacterial small subunit ribosomal RNA", at positions 524 to 776 of the family's 1533-position model. The record is from RNAcentral.